GAACCUACCUACCAAGGCAGGAAACCUAAGAGAUGCAGGAGACAUGGAGAACAGCUGAUCAACAUCUCAUAAUAAUCCCCUGAACACCUGAAGACAGCUGUGAGCGCUUAAAGAUUUGCUGAGGCUAAUCUGAACACAGGGAUCAAGACCUUCCAUGGCCUGCACUCUGCCUGCCUCUCCAGUCUCAUUUCGCACGCGCCCCUCAAUUCUCCUGGGAUCAGCCAUAUCGGGCAGCCAGUUCUUGUUACGCUCUUCAUAUAUUCAUAUCAUUGCAAAUGCUGUUCCUUCUGCCUGGAAUGCUCUUCCUUCAUUCCAAGGGAACUUGCCCUCAAGGCAAACCGCUUAUCAUUCUUCAAGACAGCUCAAGGAUCACCUCCUCUAUGUAUUUACUCUGAUACACUUGGUAGGAGUUAGCUAUAGUCCUCUAUUAUGCCCUAAUUGUUUGCUUGUCUAUUUUCAUUAUACUGUGGCCCUCAAUGGCAAAGAUCAUUUCUGUACCCCCAGUGCCUAGUACUACACCUUCCAUGAGC
Long non-coding RNA from Bos taurus (domestic cattle), 530 nucleotides. The record is from Ensembl. NCBI's taxonomy places the organism in Eukaryota, Metazoa, Chordata, Mammalia, Artiodactyla, Bovidae.